AACCAUUCUCACCUGCGGCUAGACCUGCGGAGGGAUCAUUACCGAGUUAGGGUCGCCUUCUAGGUGCCCGACCUCCCAACCCUUUGUCUAUGAUACCUAUUGUUGCUUCGGCGGACCGAGAGCCUCCAAACCUCUCGCCUGGCUUCACCGCCGGGAGCGCGUCCGUCGACGGCCCCAAUUAAAACUUUUGAACCCAAAACCUGUCGUCUGAAAACCUUUAUGAUUAUACCUAAUCAAAAA
Molecule: unclassified non-coding RNA, 240 nt
Filed under: soil metagenome
Description: partial contains 5.8S ribosomal RNA, internal transcribed spacer 2, and large subunit ribosomal RNA
Source: RNAcentral